UACGAAGGGGGCUAGCGUUGUUCGGAAUUACUGGGCGUAAAGCGUGCGCAGGCGGUUGUGCAAGACAGGUGUGAAAUCCCCGGGCUUAACCUGGGAACUGCACUUGUGACUGCACAGCUGGAGUACGGCAGAGGGGGAUGGAAUUCCGCGUGUAGCAGUGAAAUGCGUAGAUAUGCGGAGGAACACCGAUGGCGAAGGCAGUCCCCUGGGCCUGUACUGACGCUCAUGCACGAAAGCGUGGGGAGCAAACAGG
Molecule: ribosomal RNA, 253 nt
Filed under: uncultured bacterium
Lineage: Bacteria
Description: partial 16S ribosomal RNA
Rfam family: Bacterial small subunit ribosomal RNA
Source: RNAcentral